GUGGGGAAUCUUCCGCAAUGGACGAAAGUCUGACGGAGCAACGCCGCGUGAGUGAAGAAGGUUUUCGGAUCGUAAAGCUCUUUCGUUAGGGACGAACGUGCUCUUUGUGAAUAAUGAGGAGUAAUGACGGUACCUAAAUAAGAAGCCACGGCUAACUACGUGCCAGCAGCCGCGGUAAUACGUAGGUGGCAAGCGUUGUCCGGAAUUAUUGGGCGUAAAGCGCGCGCAGGCGGGAUAUCAAGUCUGUCUUAAAAGUGCGAGGCUCAACCUCGUGAGGGGACAGAAACUGGUAUUCUUGAGUGUCGGAGAGGAAAGUGGAAUUCCAAGUGUAGCGGUGAAAUGCGUAGAGAUUUGGAAGAACACCAGUGGCGAAGGCGACUUUCUGGACUGUAACUGACGCUGAGGCUCGAAAGCCAGGGGAGCGAACGGGAUUAGAAACCCGUGUAGUCC
RNAcentral lists this ribosomal RNA (450 nucleotides) under uncultured bacterium. RNAcentral describes it as "partial 16S ribosomal RNA". It matches the Rfam family "Bacterial small subunit ribosomal RNA", at positions 354 to 796 of the family's 1533-position model. The record is from RNAcentral.